AGGGUUCGAUUCUGGCUCAGGAUGAACGCUGGCGGCGUGCUUAACACAUGCAAGUCGAACGGGAUCCAUCAGGCUUUGCUUGGUGGUGAGAGUGGCGAACGGGUGAGUAAUGCGUGACCGACCUGCCCCAUACACCGGAAUAGCUCCUGGAAACGGGUGGUAAUGCCGGAUGCUCCGACUCCUCGCAUGGGGUGUCGGGAAAGAUUUCAUCGGUAUGGGAUGGGGUCGCGUCCUAUCAGGUAGUCGGCGGGGUAACGGCCCACCGAGCCUACGACGGGUAGCCGGCCUGAGAGGGCGACCGGCCACAUUGGGACUGAGAUACGGCCCAGACUCCUACGGGAGGCAGCAGUGGGGAAUAUUGCACAAUGGGCGCAAGCCUGAUGCAGCGACGCCGCGUGCGGGAUGACGGCCUUCGGGUUGUAAACCGCUUUUGAUCGGGAGCAAGCCUUCGGGUGAGUGUACCUUUCGAAUAAGCACCGGCUAACUACGUGCCAGCAGCCGCGGUAAUACGUAGGGUGCAAGCGUUAUCCGGAAUUAUUGGGCGUAAAGGGCUCGUAGGCGGUUCGUCGCGUCCGGUGUGAAAGUCCAUCGCUUAACGGUGGAUCUGCGCCGGGUACGGGCGGGCUGGAGUGCGGUAGGGGAGACUGGAAUUCCCGGUGUAACGGUGGAAUGUGUAGAUAUCGGGAAGAACACCAAUGGCGAAGGCAGGUCUCUGGGCCGUUACUGACGCUGAGGAGCGAAAGCGUGGGGAGCGAACAGGAUUAGAUACCCUGGUAGUCCACGCCGUAAACGGUGGAUGCUGGAUGUGGGGCCCGUUCCACGGGUUCCGUGUCGGAGCUAACGCGUUAAGCAUCCCGCCUGGGGAGUACGGCCGCAAGGCUAAAACUCAAAGAAAUUGACGGGGGCCCGCACAAGCGGCGGAGCAUGCGGAUUAAUUCGAUGCAACGCGAAGAACCUUACCUGGGCUUGACAUGUUCCCGACAGCCGUAGAGAUAUGGCCUCCCUUCGGGGCGGGUUCACAGGUGGUGCAUGGUCGUCGUCAGCUCGUGUCGUGAGAUGUUGGGUUAAGUCCCGCAACGAGCGCAACCCCCGCCCUGUGUUGCCAGCACGUCAUGGUGGGAACUCACGGGGGACCGCCGGGGUCAACUCGGAGGAAGGUGGGGAUGACGUCAGAUCAUCAUGCCCCUUACGUCCAGGGCUUCACGCAUGCUACAAUGGCCGGUACAACGGGAUGCGACACGGCGACGUGGAGCGGAUCCCUGAAAACCGGUCUCAGUUCGGAUUGGAGUCUGCAACCCGACUCCAUGAAGGCGGAGUCGCUAGUAAUCGCGGAUCAGCAACGCCGCGGUGAAUGCGUUCCCGGGCCUUGUACACACCGCCCGUCAAGUCAUGAAAGUGGGUAGCACCCGAAGCCGGUGGCCUAACCCUUUGUGGAUGGAGCCGUCUAAGGUGAGACUCGUGAUUGGGACUAAGUCGUAACAAGGUAGCCGUACCGGAAGGUGCGGCUG
This 1508-nucleotide ribosomal RNA is filed under the name human gut metagenome. RNAcentral describes it as "bacterial SSU rRNA". It matches the Rfam family "Bacterial small subunit ribosomal RNA". The record is from RNAcentral.